UUGAACGCUGGCGGCGUGCUUAACACAUGCAAGUCGUGCGGUAACAGGCGUAGCAAUACGUGCUGACGAGCGGCGAACGGGUGCGUAAUACAUGGGAAUCUGCCUUUUGGUGGGAAUAACCGGCGAAGCCGGGCUAAUGCCGCAUAAGAUCUUCGGAUGAAAGCGGGGGAGUCGUAAGACCUCGCGCUGAUAGAUGAGCCCACUGCCGGAUUAGCUAGUGGUGAGGUAACGGACUCACCAAGGCGACGAUCCGUAGCUGUNUGAGAGGACGGCCAGCCACACUGGGACGUGAGACACGGCCCA
RNAcentral lists this ribosomal RNA (303 nucleotides) under uncultured bacterium. RNAcentral's name for it is "bacterial SSU rRNA". It matches the Rfam family "Bacterial small subunit ribosomal RNA", at positions 30 to 333 of the family's 1533-position model. The record is from RNAcentral.